AUAUUCUGGUUUCUCUUCAGAUCAAAUAAAUCUUUCGCCUUUUACUAAAGAUUUCCAUGGAAGCAGUUUUGAGUUGUAACCUAAUUUUUUGAGGCCUUGUGUUGGGCAAGGCU
Molecule: small nuclear RNA, 113 nt
Organism: Jaculus jaculus (lesser Egyptian jerboa)
Lineage: Eukaryota; Metazoa; Chordata; Mammalia; Rodentia; Dipodidae
Gene: U5
Rfam family: U5 spliceosomal RNA
About the family: U5 RNA is a component of both types of known spliceosome. The precise function of this molecule is unknown, though it is known that the 5' loop is required for splice site selection and p220 binding, and that both the 3' stem-loop and the Sm site are important for Sm protein binding and cap methylation.
Source: Ensembl